RNAcentral lists this long non-coding RNA (559 nucleotides) under Zea mays. Its description in RNAcentral is "long non-coding RNA (ZMAY_LNC001946)". Lineage: Eukaryota; Viridiplantae; Streptophyta; Magnoliopsida; Poales; Poaceae. The record is from RNAcentral.
UGGCAAUUGGAUAGGAAUUUAGGAUUGAUUCAAUAUUAUAGAAUGAAGUAACACAGUUAUAACAGUAACUUCUUUACCUGAACUCCUAAGUGGCAAAUGUCAUAAUAUGGUUCCUCCGAUGUUUUUUCCUCUUUGAAAAAUAUAACAGUCCCUUCUUUGUAUAAUUACUUCUCUAGUAGAUAAAAUAUAUAGGUACUUGGAGUGUUCUUGUAUAUUUUGAUCUGUAUAUGAACUUUAGGUCUUGUCUCUUCUCCCUUGCCUUUCUUUGUGAAAAGAAAGGUUCUGCUUUACCUGAUCUCAUGUGAUUUCUGUACCCUGCCUUUCGCAUAGGGCAAGCAGAACGGCUCUGAUGAGUCAACAAACGGUAAGCUCAAUAAUAGCACCGAUCAAGGGGUUGAAACACCCAAAAAGGACGACGAAAAGAAGGCCGACUCGCCAAAAGAGAGUGAACAGAUUGUCCGAACACCGGAAAGAGACAAUGAACUGAGACUAGGGACACCCAAGAUGGAUAGUGAGGUACCAAGUGUGGAAAUGGCGGCAAACAGUACGAAUGGGCUGG